This 1444-nucleotide ribosomal RNA is filed under the name Limosilactobacillus fermentum. RNAcentral's name for it is "bacterial SSU rRNA". It matches the Rfam family "Bacterial small subunit ribosomal RNA". Lineage: Bacteria; Bacillati; Bacillota; Bacilli; Lactobacillales; Lactobacillaceae. The record is from RNAcentral.
GCAGUCGAACGCGUUGGCCCAAUUGAUUGAUGGUGCUUGCACCUGAUUGAUUUUGGUCGCCAACGAGUGGCGGACGGGUGAGUAACACGUAGGUAACCUGCCCAGAAGCGGGGGACAACAUUUGGAAACAGAUGCUAAUACCGCAUAACAGCGUUGUUCGCAUGAACAACGCUUAAAAGAUGGCUUCUCGCUAUCACUUCUGGAUGGACCUGCGGUGCAUUAGCUUGUUGGUGGGGUAACGGCCUACCAAGGCGAUGAUGCAUAGCCGAGUUGAGAGACUGAUCGGCCACAAUGGGACUGAGACACGGCCCAUACUCCUACGGGAGGCAGCAGUAGGGAAUCUUCCACAAUGGGCGCAAGCCUGAUGGAGCAACACCGCGUGAGUGAAGAAGGGUUUCGGCUCGUAAAGCUCUGUUGUUAAAGAAGAACACGUAUGAGAGUAACUGUUCAUACGUUGACGGUAUUUAACCAGAAAGUCACGGCUAACUACGUGCCAGCAGCCGCGGUAAUACGUAGGUGGCAAGCGUUAUCCGGAUUUAUUGGGCGUAAAGAGAGUGCAGGCGGUUUUCUAAGUCUGAUGUGAAAGCCUUCGGCUUAACCGGAGAAGUGCAUCGGAAACUGGAUAACUUGAGUGCAGAAGAGGGUAGUGGAACUCCAUGUGUAGCGGUGGAAUGCGUAGAUAUAUGGAAGAACACCAGUGGCGAAGGCGGCUACCUGGUCUGCAACUGACGCUGAGACUCGAAAGCAUGGGUAGCGAACAGGAUUAGAUACCCUGGUAGUCCAUGCCGUAAACGAUGAGUGCUAGGUGUUGGAGGGUUUCCGCCCUUCAGUGCCGGAGCUAACGCAUUAAGCACUCCGCCUGGGGAGUACGACCGCAAGGUUGAAACUCAAAGGAAUUGACGGGGGCCCGCACAAGCGGUGGAGCAUGUGGUUUAAUUCGAAGCUACGCGAAGAACCUUACCAGGUCUUGACAUCUUGCGCCAACCCUAGAGAUAGGGCGUUUCCUUCGGGAACGCAAUGACAGGUGGUGCAUGGUCGUCGUCAGCUCGUGUCGUGAGAUGUUGGGUUAAGUCCCGCAACGAGCGCAACCCUUGUUACUAGUUGCCAGCAUUAAGUUGGGCACUCUAGUGAGACUGCCGGUGACAAACCGGAGGAAGGUGGGGACGACGUCAGAUCAUCAUGCCCCUUAUGACCUGGGCUACACACGUGCUACAAUGGACGGUACAACGAGUCGCGAACUCGCGAGGGCAAGCAAAUCUCUUAAAACCGUUCUCAGUUCGGACUGCAGGCUGCAACUCGCCUGCACGAAGUCGGAAUCGCUAGUAAUCGCGGAUCAGCAUGCCGCGGUGAAUACGUUCCCGGGCCUUGUACACACCGCCCGUCACACCAUGAGAGUUUGUAACACCCAAAGUCGGUGGGGUAACCUUUAGGAGCCAGCCGCCUA